RNAcentral lists this ribosomal RNA (278 nucleotides) under uncultured bacterium. Its description in RNAcentral is "partial 16S ribosomal RNA". It matches the Rfam family "Bacterial small subunit ribosomal RNA", at positions 43 to 339 of the family's 1533-position model. The record is from RNAcentral.
GAAUUCGAUUCAGGCAAAACACAUGCAAGUCGAACGAGACCUUCGGGUCUAGUGGCGCACGGGUGCGUAACGCGUGGGAAUCUGCCCUUGGGUUCGGGAUAACAGUUGGAAACGACUGCUAAUACCGGAUGAUGACUUCGGUCCAAAGAUUUAUCACCCAGGGAUGAGCCCGCGUCGGAUUAGCUAGUUGGUGAGGUAAAGGCUCACCAAGGCGAAAAUCCGUAGCUGGUCUUUGAGGGGGAUCAGCCACACUGGGACUGAGACCCGGCCCAGACUCC